Molecule: ribosomal RNA, 2914 nt
Filed under: Vibrio parahaemolyticus
Lineage: Bacteria; Pseudomonadati; Pseudomonadota; Gammaproteobacteria; Vibrionales; Vibrionaceae
Description: bacterial LSU rRNA
Rfam family: Bacterial large subunit ribosomal RNA
Source: RNAcentral
GUUGUAUGGUUAAGUGACUAAGCGUACACGGUGGAUGCCUUGGCAGUCAGAGGCGAUGAAAGACGUAGUAACUUGCGAUAAGCCCAGAUUAGGUAGUAACAACCAUUUGAGUCUGGGAUUUCUGAAUGGGGAAACCCACGUGCAUAAGCACGUAUCCUUACCUGAAUACAUAGGGUAAGGAGGCGAACCGGGGGAACUGAAACAUCUAAGUACCCCGAGGAAAAGAAAUCAACCGAGAUUCCGAAAGUAGCGGCGAGCGAAAUUGGACUAGCCCUUAAGCUUUACACGCGUUAGACGAACGGUCUGGAAAGUCCGACGAUACAGGGUGAUAGUCCCGUAGUUGACGACGUGUGUUCAGUGAAAUCGAGUAGGGCGGGACACGUGAUAUCCUGUCUGAAUAUGGGGGGACCAUCCUCCAAGGCUAAAUACUACUGACUGACCGAUAGUGAACCAGUACCGUGAGGGAAAGGCGAAAAGAACCCCUGUGAGGGGAGUGAAAUAGAACCUGAAACCGUGUACGUACAAGCAGUAGGAGCACCUUCGUGGUGUGACUGCGUACCUUUUGUAUAAUGGGUCAGCGACUUAUAUUCAGUGGCAAGGUUAACCAUCUAGGGGAGCCGUAGGGAAACCGAGUCUUAACUGGGCGUUCAGUCUCUGGAUAUAGACCCGAAACCAGGUGAUCUAGCCAUGGGCAGGUUGAAGGUUGAGUAACAUCAACUGGAGGACCGAACCGACUAAUGUUGAAAAAUUAGCGGAUGACUUGUGGCUAGGGGUGAAAGGCCAAUCAAACCUGGAGAUAGCUGGUUCUCCCCGAAAGCUAUUUAGGUAGCGCCUCGGACGAAUACUACUGGGGGUAGAGCACUGUUAAGGCUAGGGGGUCAUCCCGACUUACCAACCCUUUGCAAACUCCGAAUACCAGUAAGUACUAUCCGGGAGACACACGGCGGGUGCUAACGUCCGUCGUGGAGAGGGAAACAACCCAGACCGCCAGCUAAGGUCCCAAAUUACUACUAAGUGGGAAACGAUGUGGGAAGGCUCAGACAGCCAGGAUGUUGGCUUAGAAGCAGCCAUCAUUUAAAGAAAGCGUAAUAGCUCACUGGUCGAGUCGGCCUGCGCGGAAGAUGUAACGGGGCUAAGUAGUAAACCGAAGCUGCGGCAAUAUACUUUUGUAUAUUGGGUAGGGGAGCGUUCUGUAAGCGGUUGAAGGUGUGUGGUAACGCAUGCUGGACGUAUCAGAAGUGCGAAUGCUGACAUGAGUAACGAUAAAGGGGGUGAAAAACCUCCUCGCCGGAAGACCAAGGGUUCCUGUCCAACGUUAAUCGGGGCAGGGUAAGUCGACCCCUAAGGCGAGGCCGAAAGGCGUAGUCGAUGGGAAACGGGUUAAUAUUCCCGUACUUCUUACAAUUGCGAUGGGGGGACGGAGAAGGCUAGGUGGGCCUGGCGACGGUUGUCCAGGUUCAAGUGCGUAGGCUUAAGAGUUAGGUAAAUCCGGCUCUUUUUAAGGCUGAGACACGACGUCGAGCACCUACGGGUGUGAAGUCAUUGAUGCCAUGCUUCCAGGAAAAGCCUCUAAGCUUCAGAUUGUAAGGAAUCGUACCCCAAACCGACACAGGUGGUCGGGUAGAGAAUACCAAGGCGCUUGAGAGAACUCGGGUGAAGGAACUAGGCAAAAUGGUACCGUAACUUCGGGAGAAGGUACGCUCUUGAUGGUGAAGUCCCUUGCGGAUGGAGCUGACGAGAGUCGCAGAUACCAGGUGGCUGCAACUGUUUAUUAAAAACACAGCACUGUGCAAAAUCGUAAGAUGACGUAUACGGUGUGACGCCUGCCCGGUGCCGGAAGGUUAAUUGAUGGGGUUAGACUUCGGUCGAAGCUCUUGAUCGAAGCCCCGGUAAACGGCGGCCGUAACUAUAACGGUCCUAAGGUAGCGAAAUUCCUUGUCGGGUAAGUUCCGACCUGCACGAAUGGCGUAAUGAUGGCCACGCUGUCUCCACCCGAGACUCAGUGAAAUUGAAAUCGCUGUGAAGAUGCAGUGUACCCGCGGCUAGACGGAAAGACCCCGUGAACCUUUACUACAGCUUGGCACUGAACAUUGACCCUACAUGUGUAGGAUAGGUGGGAGGCUUUGAAGCACGUACGCCAGUAUGUGUGGAGCCGUCCUUGAAAUACCACCCUUGUAGUGUUGAUGUUCUAACGUCGACCCCUUAUCGGGUUGCGGACAGUGCCUGGUGGGUAGUUUGACUGGGGCGGUCUCCUCCCAAAGAGUAACGGAGGAGCACGAAGGUGGGCUAAUCACGGUUGGACAUCGUGAGGUUAGUGCAAUGGCAUAAGCCCGCUUGACUGCGAGAAUGACAAUUCGAGCAGGUGCGAAAGCAGGUCAUAGUGAUCCGGUGGUUCUGAAUGGAAGGGCCAUCGCUCAACGGAUAAAAGGUACUCCGGGGAUAACAGGCUGAUACCGCCCAAGAGUUCAUAUCGACGGCGGUGUUUGGCACCUCGAUGUCGGCUCAUCACAUCCUGGGGCUGAAGUCGGUCCCAAGGGUAUGGCUGUUCGCCAUUUAAAGUGGUACGCGAGCUGGGUUUAGAACGUCGUGAGACAGUUCGGUCCCUAUCUGCCGUGGGCGUUGGAAGAUUGAAGGGGGCUGCUCCUAGUACGAGAGGACCGGAGUGGACGAACCUCUGGUGUUCGGGUUGUGUCGCCAGACGCAUUGCCCGGUAGCUAAGUUCGGAAUCGAUAACCGCUGAAAGCAUCUAAGCGGGAAGCGAGCCCUGAGAUGAGUCUUCCCUGAUACUUUAAGUAUCCUAAAGGGUUGUCGGAGACUACGACGUUGAUAGGUCAGGUGUGUAAGUGCUGUGAGGCAUUGAGCUAACUGAUACUAAUUGCCCGUGAGGCUUAACCAUACAACACCCAAGGGGUUU